Molecule: unclassified non-coding RNA, 263 nt
Filed under: plant metagenome
Description: partial contains small subunit ribosomal RNA, internal transcribed spacer 1, and 5.8S ribosomal RNA
Source: RNAcentral
UUUCCGUAGGUGAACCUGCGGAAGGAUCAUUAUUGUAUAACCGAGGUGCGAGGGCUGUCGCUGACCCGAAAGGUCGUGCACGUCCGAGUGCCCUCACACACAUCCAUUUCACCCCUGUGUGCACCACCGCGUGGGUCACCCUUUGGCUUGUUCGGAGGGGGGCUUACGUUUUCACACAAACUUAGUAUGCAGUGUAGAAUGUAUUUUUUGUUUUUGCGAUCACGCAAUCAAUACAACUUUCAACAACGGAUCUCUUGGCUCUC